CAGCAGAAGAAGAAACUACUCUUGGAACAAGCCUAUCUAUCGGCUGCCGCCAGAUUGUUUGACUUCGAGAUCGUGUCUCAACCACACGGGGUGAGAACUCAGGUUCUCUAUGAGGGGUGUUCAAAGUAGUAGAAGCCUGUGGCUCUGUUUCUAUUUCAACAGGCUCUGUUUCUAUUUCACCUGAAGUAUCACUAGUGCAGGGAGCAAGAUGGUUUGACAUAGCUGAACACUCAUUAGCAUCUGCAUGUACUCCUUGAGGAAAAUUUCCAUUAGCAAUUGCACUGGAGGCUGAAGCAUUUCUAUGGUGGUU
RNAcentral lists this long non-coding RNA (310 nucleotides) under Manihot esculenta (cassava). Its description in RNAcentral is "long non-coding RNA (MESC_LNC008125)". The record is from RNAcentral. Lineage: Eukaryota; Viridiplantae; Streptophyta; Magnoliopsida; Malpighiales; Euphorbiaceae.